RNAcentral lists this long non-coding RNA (952 nucleotides) under Monodelphis domestica (gray short-tailed opossum). RNAcentral describes it as "lncRNA (ENSMODG00000036708.1)". The record is from RNAcentral. Lineage: Eukaryota; Metazoa; Chordata; Mammalia; Didelphimorphia; Didelphidae.
UAACAACAAUUCAUUGAAGUCAAUUAUCUAUUAGACGGUAAAAACAUGAUGUGUGAUGACUCCAGAAGAAGCAAAAAUUGUACCAAAUAUGUGAGUUAGUGAGCCAAAGGAGAGACAUGAUGCUGGAUUACUGGCAGCAGCUGCUAGUAAGUCCUUUCUCAGUAGGGAGCCCUGAAGUGAUGUCAUAAUCACUCUUUGUCGGGUCUUGGUGGCCUGAGGAUUAAUACUGGGGAAGCUGGAGACUUAUUACCACAUGACCUACACUCCCAGCAGGUGGUAUAAGGAGAGAGAAGAGUGAGAAGAUCUCUAUGAACUGAUGCAGAGCAGAGUGAACCAAACCUGAAGAAGAAUUUAUACAAAGAUAAUGUUAUGAAGAAAAAUGACUUUGAAAGACUUUAGAACUUGGGACCAUCAAUGAUAAACUAUGAGUCCAAAGGAAUGAAGAUAAAUUAUGCUACUUACUGCCUGUCAGGAAUGGUUCUCUGUGAGACCUAUAAGAAGAAAUUUAGUUGAUGCAAAAAUCAAUCCAAUCAAGCUCUUAUCCAAGGAGAUUGAAGAGAACUGAGGAAAGCAAGGAAGGGGAAGAGAGCCAGAAAAAGAUGAAGAGAAAAAAAUUAAUUAAAGUUGAUCAAUAUGUUGAAAAAAGUCUAUGUAUUCUAUAUUUCUAUCUAUACAAUAUACUAGCAAAUAUAUAUGUAAACUGGUCUUUGAACUGAGUCAUGAAAGACAAUAGAAAUUCCAAGAAGGAAGAUAAAAAGACAGUGCAUUCCAGUCGUGAAGUACAACUUGUACAACGGCAUAAGAUAAAUGGGAGAAGGCAUGGAUCAUGGUGAGAAACAUCAAGUCGGCCAAUCUGAUUGGGUUACAGAGUAAGCGAAAAGGAUUGAUGUUAAAGUAAGAUUGGAAAGGUAAGUCAGAGCAGAUUUUUACUAACUACAUGACUGUGAAAGAG